Molecule: long non-coding RNA, 844 nt
Organism: Prionailurus viverrinus (fishing cat)
Lineage: Eukaryota; Metazoa; Chordata; Mammalia; Carnivora; Felidae
Exons: 3
Source: RefSeq, a predicted model, not a curated record
UGGAACCUCCUAGGUGGAGCAGAUUUCUUCAUGAAAUCUCAUUCCAGUAUCAACUAUUUCCAGUACCACGGCUCCCUCAGGACGUGAAAGAGCUGAAGUUCUGUCCUUCAGAGUUUUCCACCCAUUCUCUGAAGGUCUUGCUGAAGACUGCACACACUUGGUUGUCAACAGAGUGUAAGUUCACACUUGCCUCAACUAUUGUUUAUACACAGGGCUAUGUAUGUGAAGAGAUCUUUCUUGAAAGAUGGGCAAGUGCGGAGUUUAGGAAACCACUGCCUCUCCCUUUAUUCACCAGUUGGAUCCAUGAUGCCCUGCUGGCAAAGCCUUCCCUCAUCCCCAAGGAGUUGGCAGGGGGAGGCCCAUUAAAGGAAGUGGCUUUACGGCUGGGUGUCUGGUGUCCAAUCUUAUGGACUGUUACAGAUUAAGCUAGCUGUGCAUUUGGAAAUGUUGGUAUUUUACAUCUUUAUAAACCAAUGCUGAAAAGAUCAUUUCUGCCAUUCUCUCCUAUCUCAAACCAUGGAUGAGAAAGAGCUUAGUUCUCCAACCAAGAGCUAGACCACCCUCAGGAACGCUACACGGAUCAGCUGCCUUGCUUGGGAAGGUACCCCUGGUGCUGCCAGCAUUUCUCCAGUCAAAAGGGGUUUGGCCUGAGCUCUGUGCUGCAGUAACUGAUACAGGCCCAGGCUCUCCAAGCCAAGGAGCCAGGUUUGGUGAGGGGACCAUCCCAUUGCUCAACAGAUUCUUAAAGACAUUUGAAGAAAGAAAGUCUCCUCUGCCAGUCUUGGACACUUACGAUUCUGGGUCUAAAAGGUGGUUCUACUUGGCGAUGGUUCAGCUGGGCCCA